RNAcentral lists this ribosomal RNA (164 nucleotides) under Solanum lasiophyllum. RNAcentral describes it as "5.8S ribosomal RNA". It matches the Rfam family "5.8S ribosomal RNA". Rfam says of the family: 5.8S ribosomal RNA (5.8S rRNA) is a component of the large subunit of the eukaryotic ribosome. The record is from RNAcentral. Lineage: Eukaryota; Viridiplantae; Streptophyta; Magnoliopsida; Solanales; Solanaceae.
AAAACGACUCUCGGCAACGGAUAUCUCGGCUCUCGCAUCGAUGAAGAACGUAGCGAAAUGCGAUACYUGGUGUGAAUUGCAGAAUCCCGUGAACCAUCGAGUCUUUGAACGCAAGUUGCGCCCGAAGCCGUCAGGCCGAGGGCACGUCUGCCUGGGCGUCACGC